AUUGAACGCUGGCGGCAGGCCUAACACAUGCAAGUCGAGCGGAUGAAGGGAGCUUGCUCCUGGAUUCAGCGGCGGACGGGUGAGUAAUGCCUAGGAAUCUGCCUGGUAGUGGGGGAUAACGUCCGGAAACGGGCGCUAAUACCGCAUACGUCCUGAGGGAGAAAGUGGGGGAUCUUCGGACCUCACGCUAUCAGAUGAGCCUAGGUCGGAUUAGCUAGUUGGUGGGGUAAAGGCCUACCAAGGCGACGAUCCGUAACUGGUCUGAGAGGAUGAUCAGCCACCCUGUAAGUUAGCCCCGGUCCUUGCCCCUUCGGUGGGCCGCUGUGUGGAAUAUUGGACAAUUGGCGGAAGCCUCGUCCCAUCCAUGCGUCUGUGUGAAGAAGGUCUUCGGAUUGUCAAGCACUUUAAGUUGGGGCGAAGGGGCGUAAGUUAAUACCUUGCUGUUUUGCCGUUACCAACAGAAUAAGCACCGGCUAACUUCGUG
Molecule: ribosomal RNA, 484 nt
Filed under: uncultured bacterium
Lineage: Bacteria
Description: partial 16S ribosomal RNA
Rfam family: Bacterial small subunit ribosomal RNA
Source: RNAcentral